UAACAGCUGGAUUCAUUCCGAACUGAAGC
This 29-nucleotide non-coding RNA is filed under the name Rattus norvegicus (Norway rat). Lineage: Eukaryota; Metazoa; Chordata; Mammalia; Rodentia; Muridae. The record is from RNAcentral.